Pezoporus occidentalis (night parrot) is the source of this 1545-nucleotide long non-coding RNA. RefSeq lists it as uncharacterized. The transcript is spliced from 2 exons. The record is from RefSeq and is a predicted model, not a curated record. NCBI's taxonomy places the organism in Eukaryota, Metazoa, Chordata, Aves, Psittaciformes, Psittacidae.
AUAGCUAAUAAGAGAUAUGGGGUGUGGCAGAAAUAUACUAAGAAACCUAGUUCCAGUUUUUCUGUUCCCUGGUGUGGAGCAAGGACAUCCUAUCCCUCAGGGAAAAUGCUACAUUCUGACUGACACUCUCCUCCUUGGCACCAGUCCUUGAGAAUAAUCCCCUUCCUCUCAGGUGAGGGUUGUGCACACUGUAUUGUUGGGUAAGAUGCAGAUGAACAUCUGAGAACAAAGAGAACUUAUGCCUCCUGUCUUUUUGUGUGUGUCCUGGUCACACUGUGGUGAUCUGAAAAUGCUUACUACAUUGUGGAAAAAAAAAAAAAAAGGAAGAGUAUUUAGUUUGAGUAUGCUGCUAAGACUUCAGUUCCAAGCAGCUGAGCAGAAUCUAUACCUGAGGAAUUCUGCAUUUAUCUACUAGCUGUAGCAACUAAGGGAUUUCGUUGUUACAUUACACUGUAGGUAAGGAAGGGUUCUGAACAUCUUGAUUUCAUCUAAAUUUUUUGCACAUCCCUUUAUAAUCUGGGCUUUUUCUGUUUUUGUUGGGAGAGCUGAGCAAAUGAGACCUUACUGAACAAUAAAUAGCUUUGGAUAGGCUGUUGGAUAGUCUUUCCUAAUUUGAAUAGCUGAACAGUUAGAAGCCUGAGCAUUUUUGUGUUGCGUUUUGAUAUACCUUUGGAUGGCAUACUUAAAUAAAAUAGGUUUUAGAUACUCUUUUAUGAUGAUCGCUCUGGGAUUAAUCUCAUACUACAGUGUUGCUAGGUUUUGCUGCUAGGUAACUACUGCAUCAGAGAGAGGUUUCAGUAAGAUUUGGUAUCUGUUGGGAAUUGCAGGGUGAUUCACACUGUGGCUUUAUUACAACAGAGCUGAGAAUGUUUACAAAGACAACUGCAAGUAUAAUUUUCCUGUUUGAAGCCACAUUCUGAAUUCCAAUCAGAAUCUGUCAGAAGAAUACGAAGACUUCCUGAUUCUGAAAACCCUGUUGUCUUCAUUUAGUUUUAUGGCACUAACCACACCAAGGAAGAGCUGUUUUUUUUUCACUGGAGGUUAUUUUUCAUUGAGAAAGAGAAGUCUUGCUUGUAUUCUUUGAACAGUAUAGACUAAUGCGGGGAGUUGGUCCUUCACAUCUGCAGAGCAACUUUGAACGAGGCAGGUUUUUCUCUCCUGUAUAUUGUCCACUGUACAGAAUAACACAACAAGACUGGAAAUGUCAUUUCAAAGGAGCCUUAUGUAUCAGGACAUAGGAGAAAGUUAUUGCAGGCAAAAAUUAAUGGUAUCAGUUACGCAAGGCCAAACCUUUGCCCUGCCAUUGUCAAAGCAGCAUUUUUACAAACUCCAGUUGGAUUUUGCAGUGGGAUGUCUGUUUUGGCACCCACUGAAUUGGGCUGCAAUUGACAGUUGUGCACAAACACACCAAUUUAAAAAAUGUUUGUUGUAUCAAAGCAGGAGAUUUUUUUUCUGUCUUUGGAGGAAACCUGAAUAAGGAACACACAGAGGUAUUUUGAAAGCACAUACUUAUGUUUCCCAAUAGAUUUUAACUCCUUAAAUAAA